GGCAUUGCGCAUGCGCGCUUCCUUGCGCGAGCCGGGCUGUCGGGUGUGUUUUGCUCUCCAGCUUCCGUCGUCUCUGCAGCACUCCGGGUUCUCCUCCAGAGCGCUAGUCCCAGGAGCUCGGAAUGUUCGUGGAACUUAAUAACCUGCUUAACACCACCCCCGACAGGGCGGAGCAGGGGAAACUGACUCUACUCUGUGAUGCCAAGACAGAUGGGAGUUUCCUUGUACACCACUUUCUCUCCUUCUAUCUCAAAGCUAAUUGUAAAGUCUGCUUUGUGGCACUCAUCCAGUCCUUCAGCCACUACAGUAUCGUGGGACAGAAGCUGGGUGUCAGCCUGACCAUGGCACGGGAGCGUGGGCAGCUUGUGUUCCUUGAGGGACUCAAGUCUGCAGUGGACGUCGUCUUCCAGGCUCAAAAGGAGCCACACCCCCUGCAGUUUCUCAGGGAGGCUAAUGCUGGGAACUUGAAACCAUUGUUUGAGUUUGUACGGGAGGCCCUGAAGCCAAUAGACAGUGGAGAGGCUCGGUGGACGUACCCGGUGCUGCUGGUGGACGACCUCAGUGUGCUCCUGAGCCUGGGCAUGGGGGCGGUGGCUGUGCUAGACUUCAUUCACUACUGCAGAGCCACCGUGUGCUGGGAACUAAAGGGAAACAUGGUGGUCCUUGUGCACGACAGUGGAGAUGCGGAGGAUGAGGAGAAUGACAUCCUGCUGAAUGGCCUCAGUCAUCAGAGCCAUCUGAUACUGCGGGCUGAGGGCCUGGCCACUGGCUUCUGCAGGGAUGUGCACGGGCAGCUGAGGAUCCUGUGGAGGAGACCAUCGCAGCCCACAGUCCACCGGGAUCAGAGCUUCACUUACCAGUAUAAGAUACAGGACAAAAGCGUGUCCUUUUUUGCCAAAGGAAUGUCUCCUGCUGUUCUGUGACCUGAUUUCGGAGCAGCUGAAGCUACAUAGGACUGUUUUUGGACGUGGAAGAUAGAGCAACAUAGCAAGAAUGGGUCUUUCUCCUCUGUAGUAAUAUUUCAGGCUGGACUGGCGACUCCACUGUGACCAGAGGGUUGAGUGCUGCAGUGAUAGCAUGCCUUGGCUGCCCUGGGCCCUGUUCAGAAAACACAAGGGACCACGAUCCUGCCUUUGCUGAGAGAGAGGCUGGAUGCUAGACCUAAGUGAAAGGGGUCCUUUGGAGCCUUUGUUUAAAUAUGCCUUAGCCCCAGCUGCCCAUUUUUGGUUGAUAAGCCUUUCAGAGCCAGAGUGGGUAUAGAUGUGCCAGCCAGGAGAUGGCACCGGAUGGCAGGUGUGCAAGGUGACAACUAGGAUAAUCAUGGCUGGAAUAAAUGUGUAGCACCACCGCCACCCCAGACCCCAUCUUGGUCCUGCUCCUGCCAUAUACGACACCUGCUCCUGCUUUGCCUUCCACCAUGAGUGAAAGCUCCCUUGAGGCCUCCCCAGAAGCAGAUGCUGUCAUGCUUCCUAUACAGCCUGCAGAACUGUGAGCAAAUUCAACCUCUUUUCUUUAUAAAUUACCCAGCCUCAGGUAUUUCUUUAUAGCAGUGUGGGAAUGGACUAAUACAGGGGUAGAAAAACAGGAUCAUAAGGUGUGAUAUGGGCCAUAAAAAUAUUCUACUAACAUGAGGCUGAUGUUCAUAGGAAAGAACAAUUAUUUCCCCCUAAAUUUUUUUUUCUUUUUUGUUGCGGGCACAGAAAAUUGGGGAAGAAUUUAUGGGGGCAGUGCUAUUUGAACAAGACCUUGUAAUGUUCCUGUUUCAUCUCUGAUGAAUUAAUUCUUCAGGACUCAAAAAUAUGUUUUUCUUUCUCACUGGAAUGAAGUUGCUAUUCUGUGCUUUCUAGUGUAAAAUAAUUUUUAAAAUAUGGAUAACAUUUCAACUCAUUUAAAAUUUGUAGGCCAGGUGCAGUGGCUCAUGACUGUAAUCCCAGCACUUUGGGAGGGUAAGACAGGUGGAUCACUUGAGGCCAGGAGUUCAAGACCAGCCUCAUCAACAUGGCAAAACCCUGUCUCUACUAAAAAUACACAAAUUAUCUGGGUGUGGUAGUGCAUGCCUGUCAUCUCAGCCACUC
Molecule: RNA transcript, 2075 nt
Organism: Pan troglodytes (chimpanzee)
Lineage: Eukaryota; Metazoa; Chordata; Mammalia; Primates; Hominidae
Gene: ELP6
Gene name: elongator acetyltransferase complex subunit 6
Exons: 8
Source: RefSeq, a predicted model, not a curated record